This 501-nucleotide ribosomal RNA is filed under the name uncultured bacterium. Its description in RNAcentral is "partial 16S ribosomal RNA". It matches the Rfam family "Bacterial small subunit ribosomal RNA", at positions 30 to 523 of the family's 1533-position model. The record is from RNAcentral.
AUUGAACGCUGGCGGCAGGCUUAACACAUGCAAGUCGAGCGGGGGAAGGUAGCUUGCUACCGGACCUAGCGGCGGACGGGUGAGUAAUGCUUAGGAAUCUGCCUAUUAGUGGGGGACAACAUCUCGAAAGGGAUGCUAAUACCGCAUACGUCCUACGGGAGAAAGCAGGGGAUCUUCGGACCUUGCGCUAAUAGAUGAGCCUAAGUCGAAUUAGCUAGUUGGGGGGGUAAAGGCCUACCAAGGCGACGAUCUGUAGCGGGGCUGAGAGGAUGAUCCGCCACACUGGGACUGAGACACGGCGCAGACUCCUACGGGAGGCAGCAGUGGGGAAUAUUGGACAAUGGGGGGAACCCUGAUCCAGCCAUGCCGCGUGUGUGAAGAAGGCCUUAUGGUUGUAAAGCACUUUAAGCGAGGAGGAGGCUACUUUAGUUAAUACCUGGAGAUAGUGGACGUUACUCGCAGAAUAAGCACCGGCUAACUACGUGCCAGCCGCCGCAGUAA